This 292-nucleotide ribosomal RNA is filed under the name uncultured bacterium. RNAcentral describes it as "partial 16S ribosomal RNA". The record is from RNAcentral.
GGACUACUGGGGUAUCUAAUCCUGUUUGCUCCCCACGCUUUCGCGCCUCAGCGUCAGUCAAGGACCAGGUCGCCGCCUUCGCCACCGGUGUUCUUCCCAAUAUCUACGAAUUUCACCUCUACACUGGGAAUUCCACGACCCUCUUCCUCACUCUAGACAACACGUAUCAAAUGCAGCCCCCAGGUUAAGCCCGGGAAUUUCACAUCUGACUGUGCCAUCCGCCUACGCGCCCUUUACGCCCAGUCAUUCCGAGCAACGCUAGCCCCCUUCGUAUUACCGCGGCUGCUGGCAC